GGGGUAGGCAAAUGGUAAAGCCGCCCUAGCGCAUUAAGCUCAAAAUAAAGCUCAAGCUAUUGCUCCAAUCUCAUUUUCAAAAAUCGCUCCCUGUAUCUUUCUCUGUGGAACAAGCGUUGCGAGACGCGGGUUCAAAUCCCGCUCCCU
This 147-nucleotide transfer RNA is filed under the name Allocoleopsis franciscana PCC 7113. RNAcentral's name for it is "tRNA-Und (NNN) (tRNA-Und-NNN-2-1)". The record is from RNAcentral. Lineage: Bacteria; Bacillati; Cyanobacteriota; Cyanophyceae; Coleofasciculales; Coleofasciculaceae.